This 336-nucleotide unclassified non-coding RNA is filed under the name soil metagenome. RNAcentral's name for it is "partial contains 5.8S ribosomal RNA, internal transcribed spacer 2, and large subunit ribosomal RNA". The stretch from base 1 to 120 matches the Rfam family "5.8S ribosomal RNA", at positions 35 to 154 of the family's 154-position model. The record is from RNAcentral.
GAUGAAGAACGUAGCGAAAUGCGAUACGUAGUGUGAAUUGCAGAAUUCAGUGAAUCAUCGAAUCUUUGAACGCACAUUGCACCUCUCGGUAUUCCGGGAGGUAUGCCUGUUCGAGCGUCAUUUGUACCCUCAAGCUCUGCUUGGUGUUGGGUGUUUGUUCCGCCUCUGUGUGUGAACUCGCCUCAAAACAAUUGGCAGCCGGCGUACUUGUUUCGGAGCGCAGCACAUUUUGCGAUCCAGAUCAACGUACAGCGGCAUCCAAGAAGCCUUAUUUAACGCUCUUGACCUCGGAUCAGGUAGGGAUACCCGCUGAACUUAAGCAUAUCAAUCGGAGGA